GACGAACGCUGGCGGCGUGCUUAACACAUGCAAGUCGAACGCUGAAGCUUGGUGCUUGCACUGGGUGGAUGAGUGGCGAACGGGUGAGUAAUACGUGAGUAACCUGCCCUUGACUCUGGGAUAAGCCUGGGAAACUGGGUCUAAUACUGGAUACGACAUGUCACCGCAUGGUGGUGUGUGGAAAGGGUUUUACUGGUUUUGGAUGGGCUCACGGCCUAUCAGCUUGUUGGUGGGGUAAUGGCUCACCAAGGCGACGACGGGUAGCCGGCCUGAGAGGGUGACCGGCCAAAUGGGAAUUGAGCAAGGCCCAGACUCCUACGGGAGGCAGCAGUGGGGAAUAUUGCACAAUGGGCGGAAGCCUGAUGCAGCGACGCCGCGUGAGGGAUGACGGCCUUCGGGUUGUAAACCUCUUUCAGCACGGAAGAAGCGAAAGUGACGGUACGUGCAGAAGAAGCGCCGGCUAACUACGUG
RNAcentral lists this ribosomal RNA (471 nucleotides) under uncultured bacterium. RNAcentral describes it as "partial 16S ribosomal RNA". It matches the Rfam family "Bacterial small subunit ribosomal RNA", at positions 28 to 507 of the family's 1533-position model. The record is from RNAcentral.